UACGUAGGGUGCGAGCGUUGUCCGGAAUUACUGGGCGUAAAGAGCUCGUAGGUGGUUUGUCGCGUUGUUCGUGAAAACCUGAGGCUUAACCUUGGGCGUGCGGGCGAUACGGGCAGACUGGAGUACUGCAGGGGAGACUGGAAUUCCCGGUGUAGCGGUGAAAUGCGUAGAUAUCUGGAGGAACACCGGUGGCGAAGGCGGCAUCCUGGACCGACACUGACGCUGAGGAGCGAAAGCCAGGGGAGCAAACGGG
Molecule: ribosomal RNA, 253 nt
Filed under: uncultured bacterium
Lineage: Bacteria
Description: partial 16S ribosomal RNA
Rfam family: Bacterial small subunit ribosomal RNA
Source: RNAcentral